CCUACGGGAGGCAGCAGUAGGGAAUAUUGGACAAUGGGCGAAAGCCUGAUCCAGCCAUGCCGCGUGUGUGAAGAAGGCCUUUUGGUUGUAAAGCACUUUAAGCGAGGAGGAGGCUACUUAGAUUAAUACUCUAGGAUAGUGGACGUUACCCGCAGAAUAAGCACCGGCUAACUCUGUGCCAGCAGCCGCGGUAAU
This 195-nucleotide ribosomal RNA is filed under the name uncultured Acinetobacter sp. Its description in RNAcentral is "partial 16S ribosomal RNA". It matches the Rfam family "Bacterial small subunit ribosomal RNA", at positions 338 to 524 of the family's 1533-position model. Lineage: Bacteria; Pseudomonadati; Pseudomonadota; Gammaproteobacteria; Moraxellales; Moraxellaceae. The record is from RNAcentral.